RNAcentral lists this small RNA (149 nucleotides) under chicken gut metagenome. Its description in RNAcentral is "M-box riboswitch (ykoK leader)". It matches the Rfam family "M-box riboswitch aptamer (ykoK leader)", at positions 10 to 160 of the family's 169-position model. Rfam says of the family: M-box riboswitch, also know as ykoK leader is described as a metaloregulatory RNA that sense divalent metals and function as a genetic control element of genes related to divalent metal transport in bacteria. The record is from RNAcentral.
UGUUCGGUAGGUAAGGCUACUGCAGGGAUAUGGGCUGUUGCCGCAAAACAGUGGAGACACUGUGCGCUGGUUUGAACAGGAUACGUCGAACGCAAGGCGUAUCAUAACACAGCUUCACCGCCCUGCGAAGUCAAAGCUCACACGGAUGC